GUGCUCGCUUUGGCAGCACAUAUACUAAAACUGGAGCGACACAGAGAGGAUUAGCAUGGUUCCUGUGCAAGGGUGACUGACCUGCAAAUUUGUGCAGCAUUCCAUAGUUCU
Molecule: small nuclear RNA, 111 nt
Organism: Pteronotus mesoamericanus
Lineage: Eukaryota; Metazoa; Chordata; Mammalia; Chiroptera; Mormoopidae
Source: RefSeq, a predicted model, not a curated record